Molecule: long non-coding RNA, 3119 nt
Organism: Heterocephalus glaber (naked mole-rat)
Lineage: Eukaryota; Metazoa; Chordata; Mammalia; Rodentia; Bathyergidae
Source: RefSeq, a predicted model, not a curated record
CUCGUCUCAGCAAGCAGAUGGGAGGCACCUGGCACAGCGUGGCGUGGAGCAGGAGCCACGUGGGGCCGGCGAGGUUGCCAAAGAGUGGAGGAAAUACCCUUGCAGGUGGCUUCUUUAUCACUGGAUGAAGCAGAAAUUUGGGAGCAGCCUGGGCUGAUUGUUCGAAGAGGUGGUAACAUUGAAGGCUGCUGGCCCUGAAGGCAACCACCAGCUGGGGCUGUCUUAGAUAGACAAAAAGGAUUGGCUCACACAUGCCCACAGUGUCCUGUUGAUCAUCCACACUUUCUUCUUACUCACGGGAAGUGAAGAAGCUCCUUACAGACUACAGUGGGGAAAUCUGACGUAAAGAAGGUUGGAGUUGUUUUGAAUGGACCCCUGAAUAAGUUGUCACAGCCAAAGCAAAGAUCUCUGAAUGGCUGCAAGGUAUUUGGGGCAGCCACAGCUGUCAGAGAGAGAAGAAAGAAAGAAAAAGUACCUCUUAGGGAGUGUUGAUACCUUCUCUUCUGUCUCAGAGGCUAUGGGAAAAUGAACGAUUCUUCUAUGGUCAUUUGAAUAUUGAAAAGCACAGAUUAGUCACCAAGAACAGUGCUGAUGUUCAUGGAGAAACAAUGCCAAUGGUUGGCCCCCAAAUCAGAAACCACUAUUUGUUCACUGAGCCCAGUUAUCAGAGCCCAACACUCCAAUUUAGCCAGCACACCGUCUGUCCAUCUAGAACUAUGCUAUUCAAUAUGGCAGCUACAACCCACAUGUGGCCCUUACACUAAUUAAAAUUAAAUGAAAUAAAACCUUCAAUGUAUCACAUUCUUCCCUUUCCAAGAGCUCAGCAUCUACACGUGCUCAUGGCUACCACAAAACAGUGCUGACUUAGCACAGGGAUUUAGCUCAGUGGUUCCAGUGCCUGCCUCGAAAAGUGCAAGCUCCCGAGUUCAAUCCCCAGUACAAAAACAACAACAAAAAAAACAGUGCUGACUGUCAGACAUUUGCAUCAUCACGGGAAUGUAUUUAUUUACUUGUUUUUUAUUUAUUUUCUUUCCUUUUUUUGUUUGUUUAUUCGUUGGGGGCGGGGACAAAGUCUCACUAUAUUGCCCAGGUUGAUCUCAAACUCCUGGACCAAGAAAUCCUUCUGCCUCAGCUUCUGAGUACUGGGACUAUAGGCACCCGCCACCAUCCCCUGGCUAUUGCUAUUGCAGUGUACAACCUAGAGGCUGCUUUGCAAAGACCCAGACAGUAUUCUUUCUAAAGAAAGGACGAGGAUAUUUGGAAUCUUCUUUUAAUUACAUGACAAAAGCAAGGGUACUGAUUUGUUGUUAACAACUACGUCUGGUUGUGCUUCCUUGCACUGAAGCGAUUUGGUCAGAUUUUUCCUACUGUUUGCCCAUCAGAAAAAAAAGUCCCAUUAAUCCACACAUCCCCCACUUGGAUCUCAAACCAGUCACGACAUCUGACAGCUGUAAACUCUCACCCUGGAGAUUUCUAACUCAACAGGUUGAAUCCCAGAUCCUGUUUCUGUAUGUUUCAAUGUCACUGGUGUGUGUAUUUCCCAGGGAGCUGCAAAUGGAGAAAAAGAAGGCGAAGAGACUGGAAAUAGCAGCCACUACCAAUGACUACAUGCUCUACCCAGCCAGGACUGUUACAGGCUUCAUCACUGCUCUGGGAAGCAUGUGUGAUACACAGAGGUGACAGCCAGGGCUCACAGAAGUGAUGCCUCCUGCCCAGUCCACACAGGAAAUAAGUAGAGAAUAUGAACACGGACUGUCUCACCGCAAACCACACAUCCACCUUCCUCCUGUGGCUUACCUGCUCUAAAGCAAGCCAAGGAGAGACCUUGAUUCCUGCAUAGAUGGAACAGUAACUCUGCCCACCGGGAAGUUUAUCAUGACAUUUAUCAAGGCCUACAGCCUACUGGCAAUGAAUUCGUGCUGAUGAUAGAUCAAAGGCGAGUGGAGGCUAGGGAAGAAUAACAGCUGGAUGUGGGCAGAGGAAAAGUUCAAAAAACAAAGCAAAACAAAAUAGAACUAGCCAUGUGUGGUGGUGCACGCCUGUAACCCCAGCACUCAGGAAGCUGAGGCAAGAGGGUUGCCUGAGUUCAAGGCCAGCCUGGGCUACAUAGUGAGUUCAAGGCCAGCCUAAACAAUGUAGUGAAACCCUGCCUCAAAACAAAACAAAACAAAACAAAACAAAACAAAACAAAGCAGAACUAAAGACAAGAAAUUCUUCCACGGGAAACUCUCUAACCAGGCCCCAAUGCCCACCUUCAUAACCACGGCCACGUGGCUCACAGUGACAGGUUUCUUCUCCAUCUUGUCCCCCAGAGCCCAGUGCUGCAAUGAUGGAAAUGUCUCUAUCUGUACCACCCACACAGCCAUGGCCACAGGCACCUACUUCAGCCCUUGAAAUGUGGCACAUGUGAGUGAGGAGCUGAAUUCUAAAUUCUAUUUCAUUUUAGGAAAUUUUCACUCAUGUGAAUGUAGCCACAGGAGGCACUGAGCUACCCCAUGGAAUAUCGCAGCACUAAAUGGUCAGUUAUGAAAGGCCAGCACAGGGCCUUCUGCUUUUGUGUCCCCCCAACCUAUUACAUGUAAAUGAGUUGUUUGGGGGAUGCCCUCCAGGGUCAGAUGGCCUGGGUCCAAACCUCUGCUCAAGAAAACUCGAGGAAGUGACUUGAUCCUGUUUGUUCCCAAUGUUUGCCUCUGUAAAAUGGAGCAUCAUAAGAGAGCCUUACAAAAUGUUUAAAAGUAUUGAAUAAGUGGAGAGCAGUUAGAUGUUCAUUGCACGAUCUCUUCAACUUGUCUGUAGUUAUGAAGCUUCUCAUAAUAAAAGCUGGAAAACAGAGCUACUUCAUACUUUGCGGCAUCUGAGUUCCCAGUGAUGCAGAUACAGUGCCCACAUAGUCCCUGGUACAUAGAAAUAAGGGGUGUCUUUAAAGAAUCCAACAGGCAUUUACUAGGCAAGUAUCCACCUUCUGUAAGGUGGAAGAGAUGGAGACAUAAAGACAAAAUAAAUAAUAACACUUGCCAGUUGUGAUGGUAUAUGUCUGCUGAUCCAGCUACUCAGAAGGCUGAAGCAGGAGGCUCACUUAAGCCCAAGAGUUUAAGGCUGGCCUGGCAACAUAGUGAGAU